Pan troglodytes (chimpanzee) is the source of this 84-nucleotide microRNA precursor. It matches the Rfam family "mir-548 microRNA precursor family". Lineage: Eukaryota; Metazoa; Chordata; Mammalia; Primates; Hominidae. The record is from Rfam.
UAUUAGGUUGGUGCAAAAGUCACUGCUGUUUUUGCCAUUGAAAGUAAUGGCAAAAAUCGCAGUGACUUUUGCACCAACCCGAUA